RNAcentral lists this non-coding RNA (31 nucleotides) under Homo sapiens (human). Lineage: Eukaryota; Metazoa; Chordata; Mammalia; Primates; Hominidae. The record is from RNAcentral.
CUCCAGCUCCUUCUUGAGCAGAGAGGUCAGC